Non-coding RNA from Drosophila melanogaster (fruit fly), 87 nucleotides. The record is from Ensembl. NCBI's taxonomy places the organism in Eukaryota, Metazoa, Arthropoda, Insecta, Diptera, Drosophilidae.
AACCUGAUCCGCUGCUGUGGGUUGUGGGCUGUGUGGCUGUGGUAUAGGUGCCGCCAGUUGAUAACCCCCAGCGUGGGCACGGACCCA